GGACCUAUAGCUCAAUGGUUAGAGCAACCGGCUCAUAACCGGUCGGUUACAGGUUCGAGUCCUGUUGGGUCCACCA
This 76-nucleotide transfer RNA is filed under the name Mycoplasmopsis citelli. Its description in RNAcentral is "tRNA-Ile". It matches the Rfam family "tRNA". Rfam says of the family: Transfer RNA (tRNA) molecules are approximately 80 nucleotides in length. Their secondary structure includes four short double-helical elements and three loops (D, anti-codon, and T loops). The record is from RNAcentral. Lineage: Bacteria; Bacillati; Mycoplasmatota; Mycoplasmoidales; Metamycoplasmataceae. RNAcentral also lists the same sequence under 13 other names.